Molecule: ribosomal RNA, 405 nt
Filed under: uncultured bacterium
Lineage: Bacteria
Description: partial 16S ribosomal RNA
Rfam family: Bacterial small subunit ribosomal RNA
Source: RNAcentral
AUUGAACGCUGGCGGCAGGCCUAACACAUGCAAGUCGACAGCGGCGGACGGGUGAGUAACACGUGGGUAACCUGCCCAUCAGAAGGGGAUAAAACUUGGAAACAUGUGCUAAUACCGUAUACUGACGGAUGGACCCGUGGUGCAUUAACUAGUUGGUGAGGUAACGGCUCACCAAGGCCACGCUGCAUAGCCGACCUGAGAGGGUGAUCGGCCACAUUGGGACUGAGCCACAGCCCAGACUCCUACGGGAGGCAGAAGUAGGGAAUCUUCGGCAAUAGACGAAGGUCUGACCGAACGACGCCGCGUGAGUGAAGAAGGUUUUCUGAUCGUAAAACUCUGUUGUUAGAGAAGCGGUAUCUAACCAGAAAGCCACGGCUAACUACGUGCCAGCCGCCGCGGUAAUUC